AAGCUCGUAGUUGAAUUUCGGAAUCAAUGGGUCGGUCAUGCCAAUGGUAUGUACUGGCCUCUUUGGUUCUCACCUUCUAAGGAACCAUAAUGUCAUUUAUUUGAUGUUGUGGGAAAUUAGGACUGUUACCUUGAAAAAAUUAGAGUGUUUAAAGCAGGCCAACGCUUGAAUACGUUAGCAUGGAAUAAUGAAAUAGGACAUCGCAUUCUAUUUUGUUGGUUUCUAGGAUCGAUGUAAUGAUUAAUAGGGAUAGUUGGGGGCAUUAGUAUUCAAUUGUCAGAGGUGAAAUUCUUGGAUUUAUUGAGACUAACUACUGCGAAAGCAUUUGCCAAGGAUGUUUUCAUUAAUCAAGAACGAAAGUUAGGGGAUCGAAGACGAUCAGAUACCGUCGUAGUCUUAACCAUAAACUAUGCCGACUAGGGAUCGGAUGAUGUUGAUUUUUUAAUGACUCAUUCGGCACCUUACGGGAAACCAAAGUGUUUGGGUUCCGGGGGGAGUAUGGUCGCAAGGCUGAAACUUAAAGGAAUUGACGGAAGGGCACCACCAGGGGUGGAGCCUGCGGCUUAAUUUGACUCAACACGGGGAAACUCACCAGGUCCAGACAUAGUAAGGAUUGACAGAUUGAGAGCUCUUUCUUGAUUCUAUGGGUG
This 650-nucleotide ribosomal RNA is filed under the name uncultured Funneliformis. RNAcentral's name for it is "SSU rRNA". It matches the Rfam family "Eukaryotic small subunit ribosomal RNA", at positions 624 to 1276 of the family's 1831-position model. The record is from RNAcentral. Lineage: Eukaryota; Fungi; Glomeromycota; Glomeromycetes; Glomerales; Glomeraceae.